RNAcentral lists this ribosomal RNA (450 nucleotides) under uncultured bacterium. Its description in RNAcentral is "partial 16S ribosomal RNA". It matches the Rfam family "Bacterial small subunit ribosomal RNA", at positions 338 to 795 of the family's 1533-position model. The record is from RNAcentral.
CCUACGGGAGGCUGCAGUGGGGAAUAUUGCGCAAUGGGCGAAAGCCUGACGCAGCGACGCCGCGUGGGUGAUGAAGGCCUUCGGGUUGUAAAGCCCUGUCGGGUGGAACGAACGAUCUGGCGGCGAAUAACCGCCGGGUGUGACGGUACCACCGAAGGAAGCCCCGGCUAACUACGUGCCAGCAGCCGCGGUAAGACGUAGGGGGCGAGCGUGGUUCGGAUUCGAUGGGCGGGAUGCGCGAGUAGGUUGCGACAUCCGUCGGCUUAACCGAGGACCCGCAUCCGAUACUGUCUGGCUCGAGUCUAGGAGAGGAAAGCGGAAUUCCCAGUGUAGCGGUGAAAUGCGUAGAUAUUGGGAGGAACACCGGUGGCGAAGGCGGCUUUCCGGACUAGUACUGACGCUGAGGCGCGAAAGCUAGGGGAGCGAACGGGAUUAGAUACCCCAGUAGUC